AUGAGCCUUCAGACACCUGGGCUCACCCCCCCACAGGUCAACACUAUCAUCUCCAAACUCUGGGGUUCUAGUUCUGUGUCCCAGUGGAUGGAUAAAGUCAAUCCUUUGCUCUCUAGCACUCCACUCCUCAGUGUGAUCGCCCAAGUCCCUCAGCUGCUGAUCAGAGACACUGCUGUACACACUCGCCUCUGGAACACACAGCAGGUAUCGUCUAGUCCAGCCAUACACACUUCAUUUAUCAACCACAAUAACAGUACAAUUAUAGUUUUUUGAUAAUAUUAUAUAC
RNAcentral lists this long non-coding RNA (286 nucleotides) under Carassius auratus (goldfish). Its description in RNAcentral is "lncRNA (ENSCARG00000040776.1)". The record is from RNAcentral. Lineage: Eukaryota; Metazoa; Chordata; Actinopteri; Cypriniformes; Cyprinidae.